CUUCCGCAGUGGGCAAGCACUGAUGCCACUGAAGACAUUCUCCCGGGUGAUCAAGGACACACCAGCCCCGUCUAAACGAGAGAGCACAAAUUGUCCUCCUCUCCAAAGUGUGCCCGUGGGGAGAACAGAUCUAAGCCUUGUGCUGAGACGGAAAAAGAAGUUUACCUGAAGAGGUUGGGAGCCCACACAAUCGCUAAGUUCUUAGCGGGCAUGUUUGUGAUGGAGCAGCUCCCAGCGAGACAAGCCAAGUGUCUCAGCAGGUACUCCAGCGUCCUGGAAAGCAAGAGCCAAACCUUCAGCACCACUGAGCACGCCGUGCUCACAUUCACCAAACAAACCUCACUUCAUGCCACUGCUUGUUCUUGCUUCGGAAUAGCAAGUAGAUCAAGCUUUCCCAAGUGCCACGCUGCAGCACCAAGCCCCAGCACAAUACAGCUGCACCCAUCAGCUGCACCAGCCGUGCCCCCGUGCCCAGGAGCUGACCCAAUCCAUUCACCCCACGAAGCCAUCCAGCACUUCCACACACACAGGCAUCACGUUGCCAGCGUGAGACAAAGCCUGCCAUCGCAUCAUCACCCUCUGAAGUGCAGCAGGGCUGAGCUCCCCACACCGAGGGCAGCAGUUUUCUGACCUGUAGUGAGGUGCAGGCAGCUGCUGGAUGACCUCCUGCACUCGGAGCAACCGCUCCUCAUCGGUACCGGCAC
Long non-coding RNA from Gallus gallus (chicken), 704 nucleotides. The record is from Ensembl. NCBI's taxonomy places the organism in Eukaryota, Metazoa, Chordata, Aves, Galliformes, Phasianidae.